CCCCGUUAACUGUCGCGGGAACUAGUGACGAAUCGCUUUAGUGAGUCGAUUCUUUAAAGCUACCUGUAUAUGAGAAUCGAAGCGUGCGUCUAGAAAUAGAGCACUUUUAAAGAGCCGUUCAUAAAGUAGGAAUCGAAUCAAUCACGAGUUAGCCAUCAUUAGCGAGAACAUGACCGGGUGUCCGAGUGCUCUCAUUUCAUACAGCUGUAUUUAGUUGAUAUUUCAAGCAGAUAGUCGUUAAUAUAUGAUAUGCAAUACGAUGGUUACGGAAUUACGAGAUGACUGUCACUGAAACGGCUUGCGUCUGGUCUUUUCGAAAGCAGCGUGACAGCCUGAUGUUGAUGUAACUGGCUCUGUGAGGGAAAACGACCGCCACCGUGGAAGAAACCAGCAGCACAUGGCACCAGGCCUACACAAACUCGGGCUACAGCCCUGCUCCAACAUCACCCGAACACUUGUGCAGGGCCUGUGGAGGCCACUUCGACACGGCAAGCAAGAAUGUGUGUGUAGACUGCAAGAAGCACUUCUGCAGCCGUUGCU
Molecule: long non-coding RNA, 540 nt
Organism: Ictalurus punctatus (channel catfish)
Lineage: Eukaryota; Metazoa; Chordata; Actinopteri; Siluriformes; Ictaluridae
Source: Ensembl